UGCAGUCGAGGGGUAUUGUAGCAAUACAUUAGACCGGCGCACGGGUGAGCAACGCGUAUGCAACCUGCCGUUAACCGGGGGAUAGCCCGUCGAAAGGCGGAUUAAUACCCCAUAAUAUUGGGAUUCUGCAUGGGAUUUCAAUUAAAGCUGAGGUGGUUAACGAUGGGCAUGCGUGACAUUAGCUAGUUGGUAGGGUAACGGCCUACCAAGGCUACGAUGUCUAGGGGUUCUGAGAGGAAGGUCCCCCACACUGGUACUGAGACACGGACCAGACUCCUACGGGAGGCAGCAGUGAGGAAUAUUGGUCAAUGGGCGAGAGCCUGAACCAGCCAUCCCGCGUGCAGGAAGACGGCCCUAUGGGUUGUAAACUGCUUUUGCGCAUGGAGAAUGUUACCGACGUGUCGGUAAGUGACGGUAAUGCGUGAAUAAGCAUCGGCUAACUCCGUGCCAGCAGCCGCGGUAAUACGGAGGAUGCAAGCGUUAUCCGGAUUUAUUGGGUUUAAAGGGUGCGUAGGCGGCCUUGUAAGUCAGUGGUGAAAACCUGCAGCUCAACUGUAGGCGUGCCAAUGAAACUGUGAGGCUUGAGUGACGUUGAGGCAGGCGGAAUGUGUAGUGUAGCGGUGAAAUGCUUAGAUAUUACACAGAACACCGAUUGCGUAGGCAGCUUGCUAAAGGUUAACUGACGCUGAUGCACGAAAGCGUGGGGAUCGAACAGGAUUAGAUACCCUGGUAGUCCACGCUGUAAACGAUGAUGACUCGCUGUUGGCGAUAUACAGUCAGCGGCUUAGCGAAAGCGAUAAGUCAUCCACCUGGGGAGUACGCUCGCAAAGAGUGAAACUCAAAGGAAUUGACGGGGGCCCGCACAAGCGGAGGAACAUGUGGUUUAAUUCGAUGAUACGCGAGGAACCUUACCUGGGCUUAAAAUGUGCAAUGCCGGCUUUGGAAACAGGGCUUUCCGCAAGGACGUUGUACAAGGUGCUGCAUGGUUGUCGUCAGCUCGUGCCGUGAGGUGUCGGGUUAAGUCCCAUAACGAGCGCAACCCCUACUGUCAGUUGCUAGCAGGUAAAGCUGAGGACUCUGGCGGGACUGCCACCGUAAGGUGCGAGGAAGGCGGGGAUGACGUCAAAUCAGCACGGCCCUUAUGUCCAGGGCUACACACGUGUUACAAUGGCCGAUACAAAGGGCAGCUACCUGGUGACAGGAUGCUAAUCUCGAAAGUCGGUCUCAGUUCGGAUCGGAGUCUGCAACCCGACUCCGUGAAGCUGGAUUCGCUAGUAAUCGCGCAUCAGCCAUGGCGCGGUGAAUACGUUCCCGGGCCUUGUACACACCGCCCGUCAAACCCAUGGGAGUUGGGGGUACCCUGAAGUAUGUGACCGCGAGGGAGCU
Molecule: ribosomal RNA, 1386 nt
Filed under: uncultured bacterium
Lineage: Bacteria
Description: bacterial SSU rRNA
Rfam family: Bacterial small subunit ribosomal RNA
Source: RNAcentral